Molecule: ribosomal RNA, 405 nt
Filed under: uncultured bacterium
Lineage: Bacteria
Description: partial 16S ribosomal RNA
Rfam family: Bacterial small subunit ribosomal RNA
Source: RNAcentral
GAUGAACGCUGGCGGCGUGCCUAAUACAUGCAAGUCGAGCGAAGCGGGGACGGGUGAGUAACACGUGGAUAACCUCCUAUAAGACUGGGAUAACUUAGGGAAACCGGAGCCAAACCGGAUACUUUUCGAUGGAUACGUGCUGCAUUAGCUAGUUGGUAAGGUAACGGCGUACCAAGGCAACGAUGCAUAGCCGACCUGAGAGGGUGAUCGGCCACACUGGAACUGAGACACGGUCCAGACUCCUACGGGAGGCAGCAGUAGGGAAUCUUCCACAAUGGGCGAAAGCCUGACGGAGCAACGCCGCGUGAGUGAAGAAGGUCUUCGGAUCGUAAAACUCUGUUAGUAGGGAAGCGGUACCUAAACAGAAAGCCACGGCUAACUACGUGCCAGCAGCCGCGGUAAUUC